This 156-nucleotide ribosomal RNA is filed under the name Balsamia lazyana. RNAcentral describes it as "5.8S ribosomal RNA". It matches the Rfam family "5.8S ribosomal RNA". Rfam says of the family: 5.8S ribosomal RNA (5.8S rRNA) is a component of the large subunit of the eukaryotic ribosome. It is transcribed by RNA polymerase I as part of the 45S precursor that also contains 18S and 28S rRNA. Functionally, it is thought that 5.8S rRNA may be involved in ribosome translocation. The record is from RNAcentral. Lineage: Eukaryota; Fungi; Ascomycota; Pezizomycetes; Pezizales; Helvellaceae.
CUUUCAACAACGGAUCUCUUGGUUCUCGCAUCGAUGAAGAACGCAGCGAAUUGCGAUAAGUAAUGUGAAUUGCAGAAUUCAGUGAAUCAUCGAAUCUUUGAACGCACAUUGCGCCCCCUGGUAUUCUGGGGGGCAUGCCUGUUUGAGCGUUUCAUG